RNAcentral lists this unclassified non-coding RNA (1096 nucleotides) under Hevea brasiliensis (rubber tree). Lineage: Eukaryota; Viridiplantae; Streptophyta; Magnoliopsida; Malpighiales; Euphorbiaceae. The record is from RNAcentral.
AUUUUAUGGUCAUGGUUUUAACUGCAUUCUCUCUUAUCUAUAACAGUCCCAUUCCAGAAAUCAAUGGAAACCUUUUCUUUUUUCAUGUUUUCCGGUGCUAUUAUUCUGCUUUUCUUCUCUAAAUACUCAAAUGCUACUGGUACAAUUAGUUUGUCUGAGUCUAUAAUUAAUGGCACUGGUAGUACCCUGGUUUCGAGGGAUGGCAGCUUCGAAUUUGGUUUCUUUAGUCCUGGAAAUUCCAGAAACCGCUAUGUGGGAAUUUGGCACAGAUAAUCCCCACAACUGUUGUUUGGGUUGCAAAUAGGCGCAUUUCAAUCAACGAUACUUCAGGGACUGGCGAUGACGAGCACAGGUAAUCUUCUACUUGUAGGUGAAUAAUACACUAAAAUGCAGAAUGGAGAAGGAUUUGUAAAAUUAUAUUUAUUAGAUUGAAAUUGCUAGAUACUUCACAUUCAUGGGUGAACAGGAGUAUUAUCUUCACAUAAGCAGAGUAAGUGUUUGGGGAUUUUGCUUUGCACACCCAAGUGAACUUAACCACUUUUUGCUUUCUUUAAGAUAAAGAAUAUUUAGUAAUGUAGCAAAAGGUGUGUAUAAUUCAAGGAUAUUAAUGAUUAUAUUCCAUUCUACAGAAAGCAGAAAAUAGGGAAAAUGAUCAGGAACAAGAUGAACAAUCAGAAGACAUGAUGGCAGUAGCUAGGAGAAGGUGGUUUUGGACUCGUUUAUUCCUUAUAUAUAUAUAUAUGCCCAUAUGCUUUUGAGAAGGAAGCUAUUUUCCAACAAGUAUUUAUUGUCCUGCUUUGUAAAUUACUUCACCAGAUGAUAAAUUAGAAAAAAAUUUCACUUUUUUGAAUUAUGCAGUCGUUACAUCGCACCAGAAUAUGGCUAGUGAUGGGUUAUUCUCUUCAAAAAAAUGGCACCAGAAUAUGGUUAGUGAUGGGCUAUUCUCUUAAAAAAAAUGGCACCAGAAUAUGGCUAGUGAUGUGCCAUUCUCUUCAAAAACAUCUGAUAUCUUUAAUUUCGGUGUUUUUUUAUCAUCCAAGCCUUGGUUUUAACCUUAAUGGACAUGUAGUGUCGAGAGGAUUUUGGAUUUUUAACU